Molecule: ribosomal RNA, 608 nt
Filed under: uncultured Fulvimonas sp.
Lineage: Bacteria; Pseudomonadati; Pseudomonadota; Gammaproteobacteria; Lysobacterales; Rhodanobacteraceae
Description: bacterial SSU rRNA
Rfam family: Bacterial small subunit ribosomal RNA
Source: RNAcentral
CAGGUCCCGUCAAUUCCUUUAAGUUUGUCCACCGUCCAUCCGCGGAAAUUCGCAUUGAUGUAGUUGGACGCCGUGUCCAGGUCGGUCUGCGUUAAGUCCUGCUGCCUCCCGUAGGAGUACUCCUACGGGAGGCAGCAGUGGGGAAUAUUGGACAAUGGGGGCAACCCUGAUCCAGCAAUGCCGCGUGAGUGAUGAAGGCCUUCGGGUUGUAAAGCUCUUUUGCCAGGGACGAUGAUGACGGUACCUGGAGAAUAAGCCCCGGCUAACUUCGUGCCAGCAGCCGCGGUAAUACGAAGGGGGCAAGCGUUGUUCGGAGUUACUGGGCGUAAAGGGCGCGUAGGCGGCGCACCAAGUCAGGCGUGAAAGCCCUGGGCUCAACCCGGGAAUUGCGCUCGAUACUGGCUCGCUAGAGUGUGAUAGAGGAUGGUGGAAUUCCCGGUGUAGCGGUGAAAUGCGUAGAGAUCGGGAGGAACAUCAGUGGCGAAGGCGGCCAUCUGGAUCAACACUGACGCUGAGGCACGAAAGCGUGGGGAGCAAACAGGAUUAGAUACCCUGGUAGUCCACGCCCUAAACGAUGCGAACUGGAUGUUGGUCUCAACUCGGAGAUC